RNAcentral lists this long non-coding RNA (223 nucleotides) under Elaeis guineensis (African oil palm). Its description in RNAcentral is "long non-coding RNA (EGUI_LNC024189)". The record is from RNAcentral. Lineage: Eukaryota; Viridiplantae; Streptophyta; Magnoliopsida; Arecales; Arecaceae.
GGCCGUGUAAAAAAAAAAAUUUUGGAAGAAAAUCUGGGCGUGAGAAAUCCUUGUGUACCAGGUGAAGGUCUAUAUCUUUUCGAGAGAAAAAGAAAGAAAAGAAAGAAAAAAUGUGCGCAGGGUUUCAGUGAGUUCUUCAGGGUUUCAGCCUGGAGUUCGGGAAGUGAGAAGGUGAGCUACGAGUAUCGCAAAUCAGAUUUCAAGAAGAUCUUCAACAUCCUCU